Varroa destructor (honeybee mite) is the source of this 1367-nucleotide non-coding RNA. The record is from RefSeq and is a predicted model, not a curated record. NCBI's taxonomy places the organism in Eukaryota, Metazoa, Arthropoda, Arachnida, Mesostigmata, Varroidae.
UUCAUUUCAGAUCGUUUGCAUUGGCAUGUAGUCGAUUCAGGUCGAGUAAACGCGGUGAUCUUGAAAUAAGACCGCUCGACCCGUCCGCUCCACGCGGAACCCUCCCCUUUUCCGGCCUCUGUCGCUGCCGGCGUCGUUGUCGAUGUCGGACUGUUGUUUUCAGACCCAGUGGCGGCGCCGUGCGUGCGGGAUCUCUUGCGCGAAUCUUAGGAAUUGAUCGCCUGCGGCUACCCCACGUGACCGAUCUAACCAUGAGCUUGACUCCGGAUGAGUUUGCUGUAGCUGCCAGGGACUUUGCUUCUAUAUCCCAUUCUCUUGAUGAUGGCUGGCAACUGUACGAUGGCCAUGAGAUCGGUACUGGGAACCCCGCAAAUGUUUACCUUGUUAAGAAGGUUAUAAAGGAAAAAAGUACUUCGGUUCGUACUCGACAUAGGGAAGCCGACGAAAUCACCGAUCCUCAAGAAGCACCGCUACAGGCCAAUGGCGACCUCCUUUGCUGGGAAUACAACGUCGCCUACAGCUUAUCGUUCGAAGCGCCCGCCCUCUACUUUGAUAUUUGCUAUUCAAACGGGGAAACUCUUUCGCUAGAGGACGUUUGGUCCGCGUGUUGCUCCGAGGGUAAGGUACUGGAUCUAGAAUUGAAGGAUAUGUGGGGCACCGUUACACGACAGGAACAUCCGAUAAUUCGGCGACCGUACUUCGUGCUCCACCCAUGUAACACUCACGAGAUCAUGGGACCCCUGCUUAAGGCCCAAGGCGAGCGAAGUGCAUUCAAACGAUUGACAACGGUCUUCUCGCACACUCCUAGCUGUAUAGAAAGCUCUCGGGUCGACUGCGCUUCAUUUUGUUUAAGGAGUGCCCACAGUGCAUCGUCGUUCGCUUCUUAUGGUCGCCCAGAACGUGGUUUGUCGUUCAAGUUGAAAUCUCCGCUUCUAAAGCGAUUAAUUAAACCAAAACUGACAAGUGGUAAAGGUUACUGCACGAUCGCCUUCGACUGCGCAAACAAUUCUUUGUGUCUCGGCAACACUUUUCCAGCACGAAAAUAGUGAAGAAGACAACGCCGAAUAUGCAUCUCUUCGAGCUCCGUAUCAAGUACCGAGUCACCACUUUUACCGACAACGACUGACUGAAAACAACAGAACACACACGUCUGAUGGUUGAAACAAAAAUCCUGGAAAAUUUCAGCGAGGCACGAGCAGCCGAUUUCAUGCUAGCGCCGUCUGUUGGCUCCAACGGAAACUUUUCACACAGUCAGUUUAAUAGCAGUCAAACGUACAAGGAUCAAUUACCUGAUUACGUGGCUUUCUUCGGUAGGCCCUGCCGUAGGACUACGCCUCUCUAUUGGUUACAACAAGGGCACUAAAAAG